GGCCGAGUAGCUCAGUGGAUAGAGCAUCUGCCUUCUAAGCAGAUGGUCGGGAGUUCAAUUCUCUCCUCGGUCA
Molecule: transfer RNA, 73 nt
Filed under: Treponema sp.
Lineage: Bacteria; Pseudomonadati; Spirochaetota; Spirochaetia; Treponematales; Treponemataceae
Description: tRNA-Arg
Rfam family: tRNA
About the family: Transfer RNA (tRNA) molecules are approximately 80 nucleotides in length. Their secondary structure includes four short double-helical elements and three loops (D, anti-codon, and T loops).
Source: RNAcentral